Molecule: ribosomal RNA, 484 nt
Filed under: uncultured bacterium
Lineage: Bacteria
Description: partial 16S ribosomal RNA
Rfam family: Bacterial small subunit ribosomal RNA
Source: RNAcentral
AUUGAACGCUGGCGGCAGGCCUAACACAUGCAAGUCGAGCGGAUGAACGGAGCUUGUUCCUGGCUUCAGCGGCGGACGGGUGAGUAAUUCCUAGGAAUAUGCCCCGUUGUGGGUGAUAACAUCCGGAAACGGGUGCUAAUACCGCAUACGUCCAGAUGGAGCAGCUGGGGGGUCUUCGGACCUCACGCUAUCAGAUGACCCUACGUCGGCUUAGCUAGUUUGUGGGGUAAAGGCCUACCAAGGCGACGAUCCGUAGCUGGACUGCGUGGCUGAUCAGUCACACUGGAACUGAGACACGGUCCAGACUCCUACGGGAGGCAGCAGUGGGGAAUCUUGGACAAUGGGUGAAAGCCUGAUCCAGCCAUGCCGCGUGUGUGAAGAAGGUCUUCGGAUUGUAAAGCACGUUAAGUGGGGAGAAAGGGCUGUAAGUUAAUACCUUCCUGUCGUGACGUUACCUAAUUAAUAAGCACCGGCUAACUUCGUG